RNAcentral lists this unclassified non-coding RNA (248 nucleotides) under Byssolecania variabilis. RNAcentral's name for it is "partial contains 5.8S ribosomal RNA, internal transcribed spacer 2, and large subunit ribosomal RNA". Lineage: Eukaryota; Fungi; Ascomycota; Lecanoromycetes; Lecanorales; Pilocarpaceae. The record is from RNAcentral.
CGCACAUUGCGCCCCUUGGUAUUCCAGGGGGCAUGCCUGUCCGAGCGUCAUUGCACAUCUCAAGCGUAGCUUGGUAUUGGGCAUCGCUCCCCGCCGGGGGUGUGUCUGAACAGUAGUGGCGGUUCGACGUGACCUUUGAACGAAGUAAAUUUCUCCCCGUUCCGAAGGAUUUUCACGCCGAUACCUGCCAAAACGCGCCCUUUUCCACGAUUGACCUCGGAUCAGGUAGGGAUACCCGCUGAACUUAA